GUUACUUGCAUUGCAGCUGGUGGAUGGGUCAAGUUUCUAGGUUACUAUAUUCAGUAAAUUUCCACACAUAAUUUCAUUUUAAAUCUUGUUGGGCACAGAGUUUUCCUAGUGAAAAAAUGAGUUUCUUGGAGAAUGUGUGAUUAAAAAGUGGGGAAAAGUUGUGGUGGGUCCAUAGAACGGGUGAUUUAAAUAUGAUUUUGGAGAAAAAUGAUGUUUAAAAGAAAAAUCUUUGACUAACAAGCCUUUAAUAAAUAUAUAAAGCAUGCAUCUGUCAUAUCUGAAGCCAAGCCUUUUUAGUUGUGCUGCUACCUCCCUGAAGCCAAUUUUCUAUUUCUUUUCCUACGACUAAUAAAUGUUUUUGGCCCCCUGGUUAUAAGGCAUGUCUAUACAAUGUUUACUUGAUGAGCUACACACCCCUUACUAUUUUCUGUGUUUUAAAGACAUUGAUUCGAAAUAAUUUGUGCAGAAACCCUUGUAAUAAUUGACAAGUUGUAGAAAUUGGAUGGGUAAUUGAGCAGUGAUAAUUGAAUUGAUGCAUAGAAAUUCUGUGAAUGUUUCCAAGGAGGAUAGAAAAGCGUUCAUGUACAUCAACAUCAAUUAACUAAUUGGCCUAUAUUUUGGUGGCAGCCAAAAUAUUACCUCUUAUAUAAAUGUCUGGGUGAUGAGUCAAAAUGUAGAAUUGAAUGUUUUCAAUAAGUCUUUUUCUUAUUUUCCCGUAAUUUGCUUCCCUGAUAACAAAAUUUUAUGCGGUGAGUCAAAUUAUGUGAUUGUUUGGUAGAUCCAGAGAUGUGAGACCUUUAGUGUUGAAUGGACAAUUCAUCCACUUGAUUUUGAUACUUCCAAAAAUUUAUGUCACUGUGAUUGAUUACACAAAGAGUUGUAUGCUAGGGGAUGGCUACAAUAGAAAGUGUCGAACUAAUUCUGAACUGUCCAUUGAAUUUAUAGAAAGGACUUUCUUUCACCUGCCCUCCAAGGAAAGUUUCUGAGCUUUGGAAAUGGAAGAAAAGCUAUCAUUUUUCUUUUUUUUUUCUUUGUUAUUUAUCUUGUAUUUUCUAUAAAUCUGCAUGGAAUAUAUGGGUAUCAAUUAUCAGUCUUUGAAAUAAUCACUGAAUCCUUGUUUCCUUGCAUGACACAAAUGUAUAGCAGCUAUAGCUUAUGCCCAUAAUAUUGGAGUGAGAACCCAUUAUAUUACCUGAACACUUUAUAUGAAGCUGUCUGCAUCUGGAUGGAGCCAGAAGGCUGGCUUCGAGAGGACCAUUAUUCCACACUGGUAUGGGCCAUGUGGAAGACACUAGUUAAAUUGAUUGAAAAGGAUUUCACAAGUGAACUGGGGAGAAGUUUGUUGUAGAAAAUAUAAAAUAAAAUAUGUG
RNAcentral lists this long non-coding RNA (1370 nucleotides) under Olea europaea subsp. europaea. Lineage: Eukaryota; Viridiplantae; Streptophyta; Magnoliopsida; Lamiales; Oleaceae. The record is from RNAcentral.